AGAGGGGGAAGGUCUGGAGGUUGGAAAGAGGACUGGAAUCUGAUUGGGGUUCCAACAAAUCUGUAACACCGCUGGGAACGACUGGGUCCCCUUUAGGUCCUUUAGGACAGCGUUUGAAAUCUUGCUUUCCCCUGCAGGGAUCCAGCACCGGCUCCUCCUCCGGCAACCACGGUGGGAGCGGCGGAGGAAAUGGACAUAAACCCGGGAAUUUUAAAUCCAAGCUGGGUUUCAUCAACUGGGAUGCCAUAAACAAGAACCAGGUCCCGCCCCCCAGCACCCGAGCCCUCCUCUACUUCAGCCGACUCUGGGAGGAUUUCAAACAGAACACUCCUUUCCUCAACUGGAAAGCAAUUAUUGAGGGUGCGGACGCGUCAUCACUGCAGAAACGUGCAGGCAGAGACG
RNAcentral lists this long non-coding RNA (402 nucleotides) under Homo sapiens (human). RNAcentral describes it as "non-protein coding lnc-DMKN-1:8". Lineage: Eukaryota; Metazoa; Chordata; Mammalia; Primates; Hominidae. The record is from RNAcentral.